Molecule: non-coding RNA, 149 nt
Filed under: Streptomyces oceani
Lineage: Bacteria; Bacillati; Actinomycetota; Actinomycetes; Kitasatosporales; Streptomycetaceae
Source: RNAcentral
GGUGAUCACGAGGUUCGAGGUGCCCCACGGCGUACGCCACGCCACGGGGAGAAUCUGGGAAGCCGGUGCAAGUCCGGCACAGGGCCCGCUGCGGUAACUCAGGCACAGACCUGGGAAGUCCGAAGACCGGCCUCGAUCCGACCCGGGCG